This 1531-nucleotide ribosomal RNA is filed under the name Salmonella enterica subsp. enterica serovar Enteritidis. Its description in RNAcentral is "partial 23S ribosomal RNA". It matches the Rfam family "Bacterial large subunit ribosomal RNA", at positions 1 to 1566 of the family's 2925-position model. The record is from RNAcentral. Lineage: Bacteria; Pseudomonadati; Pseudomonadota; Gammaproteobacteria; Enterobacterales; Enterobacteriaceae.
GGGUUGUGAGGUUAAGCGACUAAGCGUACACGGUGGAUGCCCUGGCAGUCAGAGGCGAUGAAGGGCGUGCUAAUCUGCGAUAAGCGCCGGUAAGGUGAUAUGAACCGUUAUAACCGGCGAUACCCGAAUGGGGAAACCCAGUGUGACUCGUCACACUAUCAUUAACUGAAUCCAUAGGUUAAUGAGGCGAACCGGGGGAACUGAAACAUCUAAGUACCCCGAGGAAAAGAAAUCAACCGAGAUUCCCCCAGUAGCGGCGAGCGAACGGGGAGGAGCCCAGAGCCUGAAUCAGCAUGUGUGUUAGUGGAAGCGUCUGGAAAGGCGCGCGAUACAGGGUGACAGCCCCGUACACAAAAGCGCAUGUGCUGUGAGCUCGAUGAGUAGGGCGGGACACGUGGUAUCCUGUCUGAAUAUGGGGGGACCAUCCUCCAAGGCUAAAUACUCCUGACUGACCGAUAGUGAACCAGUACCGUGAGGGAAAGGCGAAAAGAACCCCGGCGAGGGGAGUGAAAAAGAACCUGAAACCGUGUACGUACAAGCAGUGGGAGCACCCUUUGGGUGUGACUGCGUACCUUUUGUAUAAUGGGUCAGCGACUUAUAUUCUGUAGCAAGGUUAACCGAAUAGGGGAGCCGGAGGGAAACCGAGUCUUAACCGGGCGUUAAGUUGCAGGGUAUAGACCCGAAACCCGGUGAUCUAGCCAUGGGCAGGUUGAAGGUUGGGUAACACUAACUGGAGGACCGAACCGACUAAUGUUGAAAAAUUAGCGGAUGACCUGUGGCUGGGGGUGAAAGGCCAAUCAAACCGGGAGAUAGCUGGUUCUCCCCGAAAGCUAUUUAGGUAGCGCCUCGUGAAUUCAUCUCCGGGGGUAGAGCACUGUUUCGGCUAGGGGGCCAUCCCGGCUUACCAACCCGAUGCAAACUGCGAAUACCGGAGAAUGUUAUCACGGGAGACACACGGCGGGUGCUAACGUCCGUCGUGAAGAGGGAAACAACCCAGACCGCCAGCUAAGGUCCCAAAGUCAUGGUUAAGUGGGAAACGAUGUGGGAAGGCCCAGACAGCCAGGAUGUUGGCUUAGAAGCAGCCAUCAUUUAAAGAAAGCGUAAUAGCUCACUGGUCGAGUCGGCCUGCGCGGAAGAUGUAACGGGGCUAAACCAUGCACCGAAGCUGCGGCAGCGACACUGUGUGUUGUUGGGUAGGGGAGCGUUCUGUAAGCCUGUGAAGGUGUGUCGUGAGGCAUGCUGGAGGUAUCAGAAGUGCGAAUGCUGACAUAAGUAACGAUAAAGCGGGUGAAAAGCCCGCUCGCCGGAAGACCAAGGGUUCCUGUCCAACGUUAAUCGGGGCAGGGUGAGUCGACCCCUAAGGCGAGGCCGAAAGGCGUAGUCGAUGGGAAACGGGUUAAUAUUCCCGUACUUGGUGUUACUGCGAAGGGGGGACGGAGAAGGCUAUGUUGGCCGGGCGACGGUUGUCCCGGUUUAAGCGUGUAGGUGUGUGUUCCAGGUAAAUCCGGUUCACUUUAACACUGAGGCGUGA